Herpailurus yagouaroundi (jaguarundi) is the source of this 1714-nucleotide long non-coding RNA. RefSeq lists it as uncharacterized. NCBI's taxonomy places the organism in Eukaryota, Metazoa, Chordata, Mammalia, Carnivora, Felidae. The record is from RefSeq and is a predicted model, not a curated record. The transcript has 5 exons.
ACGCCGGGUCUGGGCGGGGCCGCGUGCGAACCACGCCCCGCACCCCCACGCAUGCGCGCGCAGGCGUACUGGUCCGCCGCCCCGCCCCGCCCACCGCCCGCCGGAGGUAGCCGUUGGGAGGCGGUUGGGCGGGGCAACGGCCGCCGCUUGGAGGCCCCGCCCCCGGCUGGGCCCUGGGGAGCUGAGGUUUCCGACGGAAACGGGCGGUGCGCGCCGAGUCCUUGAACCUGGGCACUCCGGUCGGCCGCCUCAGGGUUGGCGGCGGAAGGACUCUUCGUUGGGGAGAAAAGCCUUCCCCGCACCGAAGGAGGAAGACCUAGAUUUAAAACAGGAGCGAGGCAGCUGAUGAGAACCACACACGCGCCUUGGAUCUGUGCUACACCUUAGCUGCGGGAACACUCCUACGGAUCCCUUUCAUUCACCUUUAAUUCUUUGGAAGGCAGACCAGAUGGUCUUGCCGACAGACAGUUUGGAUCUUCUUGCCCCCUGCUCUAAAAACUCAGGGACCUCGGCUCACGUAAACCCCUGGCCUUGUGAGCCACGCCCCCUCACCGGCACACACAUCACAUGCUACAAUGUGACACACAUAAACGGCCCAUCUUCCCGACCAGCCUUAUUCCUCACCAUCCCUAAGUGGGUUUUCUCCACUCCUGCACACUGGUCACCUAGCUAUCCAACCAGGUGGCCUGGCCCUUGCUUCUCAGAGGAGUGACCUGGCUAAAGUCACAUGACUGGAUUUUAGACAGGAUUACGACUGCAGCCCAAAGCUCAGGGGUCCCAGACUGGCAGAGAAACGCAUGAACCAAAUCAGCUGCAAGCCACUUCCCCAAGGAGCAGACAAGGGCCAAGGGACUGAUGUCAGAAAGCAACCAGGAGCAGACAGGAGCCACAGUCAAAGGCCCAAACUGGCCAAUGGAAUGUGUCAGAAACAAAGGCACAGUGUUGUGCCUCAACCCAGAAAGCAAUGCGAUGCUCUAGAAAACACGCCCUACAAAUACUGCAGGCUAUAUAUACAGAGAGGAGUGUCAAGUCCUGACGAGACCGGGUCCUGAGCCAUCGCUGUCACAGACGGAGAAACUGAGGCACUAACAGGACCAAUGACCUCUCCCCAACAUCACUGGCACGUGAGGGACAAGGGAACGACUCGGAGCGCAGGCCCACGAUCCCCUCCCCGCCGUUCCCAAACCCCAUAGCUCAAAAAGCCCAAAGAAUUUCUUUAAGUUUGCGCCAGGCCCGUGUGGUUGACAAAGGCUGUCUGAGGCCAUUCCACCUUUGUCUGUCCAGCUCUGUGUGAAUGUUACGAAGUCUGGCUACAGAAGUGUUACUUUUUGAUGAGGGAGCGCGGCCAGCCCAGAUACCUCGGGGUAUCGUGUCACGUAUAGGACACGCUGCUGGAAAGUGCAAGUUCUGAAUCCGGAGUUGGCUCGGGUGCCCCGGGCCUCCGGACACGUCUUAUGGAUAAGGGUGGCCUGAGAUCCACGUCAGCGAGCAGGUGGAAUGAGCCCAAAUAAAGGUGUUUGGGGGCGGGCGGGGGGUGGGGGGGGAGCAGUGCAGCAGCACAGGAGAAGGGCCAGGGGACGAGGCUUCACGUCAGCUCUGCUGAGGACACCGGGAGACCUUGGGCAAGUCACUUCCCUGGAUAGGCCUUCAAUUUCCUCAUCGGGAAAAACGGGAUGACGGCGAUCCUUUGGACACCCCUCGUUGAGCCAAAGCA